CACCAUCACCGAUGGUCACCAAUGCUUCCUAUAGUCUGAAAGGAAGCGCUUUCGAGCGACUAGAAAAACUCCCGUAGCCUGAAAGGGAGAGCAAAAAUUGCGGUACAUCUGCGCACUUUUGGAAGCAGAUAUCGCCGGACACAUAACCCACCGUCCGGCGAUGAAGGUCUUU
Molecule: small RNA, 172 nt
Filed under: Xenorhabdus mauleonii
Lineage: Bacteria; Pseudomonadati; Pseudomonadota; Gammaproteobacteria; Enterobacterales; Morganellaceae
Description: STAXI RNA
Rfam family: STAXI RNA (bases 1-149)
Source: RNAcentral